This 693-nucleotide ribosomal RNA is filed under the name uncultured beta proteobacterium. RNAcentral's name for it is "bacterial SSU rRNA". It matches the Rfam family "Bacterial small subunit ribosomal RNA", at positions 28 to 716 of the family's 1533-position model. The record is from RNAcentral. Lineage: Bacteria; Pseudomonadati; Pseudomonadota; Betaproteobacteria.
AUUGAACGCUGGCGGCAUGCCUUACACAUGCAAGUCGAACGGCAGCACGGACUUCGGUCUGGUGGCGAGUGGCGAACGGGUGAGUAAUAUAUCGGAACAUACCCAGUAGUGGGGGAUAACUAUCCGAAAGGAUAGCUAAUACCGCAUACGAUCUGUGGAUGAAAGCAGGGGAUCUUCGGACCUUGUGCUAUUGGAAUGGCCGAUAUCUGAUUAGCUAGUUGGUAGGGUAAAAGCCUACCAAGGCGACGAUCAGUAGCUGGUCUGAGAGGACGACCAGCCACACUGGAACUGAGACACGGUCCAGACUCCUACGGGAGGCAGCAGUGGGGAAUUUUGGACAAUGGGGGCAACCCUGAUCCAGCAAUGCCGCGUGAGUGAAGAAGGCCCUCGGGUUGUAAAGCUCUUUUGUCAGGGAAGAAACGGAGUUCUCUAAUAUAGGAUUCUAAUGACGGUACCUGAAGAAUAAGCACCGGCUAACUACGUGCCAGCAGCCGCGGUAAUACGUAGGGUGCAAGCGUUAAUCGGAAUUACUGGGCGUAAAGCGUGCGCAGGCGGUUUUGUAAGUCUGAUGUGAAAUCCCCGGGCUCAACCUGGGAACUGCAUUGGAGACUGCAAGGCUAGAGUGUGUCAGAGGGGGGUAGAAUUCCACGUGUAGCAGUGAAAUGCGUAGAGAUGUGGAGGAAUACCGAUGGC